RNAcentral lists this long non-coding RNA (840 nucleotides) under Triticum aestivum (bread wheat). Its description in RNAcentral is "long non-coding RNA (TAES_LNC008172)". Lineage: Eukaryota; Viridiplantae; Streptophyta; Magnoliopsida; Poales; Poaceae. The record is from RNAcentral.
UCAAUCCUGAUGUUGGUCCAAUACUCUUUUCAGCCCAUUCACAUAUUCGUACAAAUGAUCCUCCUUUUCGACAAAAUUUGCAAAUAAUUUCAUAUUUCAGCACUAAAUAUGUUUACAUCACAGGCCAUAAAGCCAUACAAACUAGUAUCACUUGUUCCUAUACAAAACUAUCAAAUGAUACAUACAACAAAACAGAAUACAGAAAAUUUAGUUCAACAAAAAUAAGUUUUCUUCCUCUUCCAUCUUCCAGAACACAAAACACCUGUGAAAGUAAAGAUGCCACAACAAAAAUGGAAGGAUCAGCCAUUAGAAGCAUAUUGAGUACAAGGGAAACACGCACUGUGAAAAUUUUGACAUCACGAAUAUUUUUUAUAUUACAAUAACAAACAGAAAUGUAAUCUGAUUGCUUAAGACAUAUGGCAUUAUCAACAAGACAAAGCAAAAUUUAUAGUGCCAACUCGGAAUAAGAUAAAGCAAAAUUUAUAAAUCUAUAGCAUCACACACGAGGUCUAAAUUUAUACUAUGUUCCUUUAGAAGCAAGAGUUGGUUCAUGUCUAGCUUUUAUUGCAGAUAACUAGUAAAUUUCCGCAAAAAUUAGGAGCGACAUAUGUUUUAAUCUCGUGUUUGCGGUAUAUAUUCACAGCAUGUAAGAAUACUUUGAUUAACAAACUAACCAACCAUCAACUAACACUUCAUAGUACCAACUAACACUUCAUGGUACCAAAAAAAUGGGGUGGCGCUCACCAAUUCACACGUGCAGCAGCCAUGAGGGCUUCUUCGUGUUCCAUCUACAGCUGUGGCAGCUUCUACAAAUUUGAGACACAAAACAAACGCAUGCAG